AUGAGAUCAGAUUCCGGGCGCUGCCUGAUUCUGGGCUCUGUCUUGGCCACUCACCCCUGGCCUGGUCCGGCCUGGCUCCGAUCUGCUGGCUUGCUGGGCGCUCCCGCUCCGGCUGGGCUGGGCUGGGCUGGGCUAGGCUGCAGGAUGGCACGCGCUGCUCAGCCUCCCUCCCCCUUCUUCCUCCUUCCACCCUCCCUCCUCUACCUAGCCAACCUGUUACUCCCCUCCCCGAACUCCGCCCCUUCCCCCGCCUCCAUUGGCCCACCACCGCCCCGCCCCGCCCUGUUCUUCCGAGGAUUGGCCCACGGACCCCACGAUAGGCGGGCCUGCUGUAGACCUGGAAUGAUACCGGGGUCUGGUAAAGGAUUUGAUAUAAAUGUAAAUGCUACAAUUGCAAUUUGUGAAGGAGAGAAAGUGUAUUUCUCAUCUGGCUCCAGUAACACCAGUGACUCAUCAGUGAUGAUUCCAUCAGUGAACUUCCUUUUACAUCUAGCAAUCUAAAAGAUUUGGAAGUUUGGAAACUAGAUCAAGGAGAAAUAACUUAAGAAUUAUUGUAAUUAUCUAAAGCCCUAAUCAAUAAAAGAACCUAGACAUCAUCUUUCA
RNAcentral lists this long non-coding RNA (603 nucleotides) under Monodelphis domestica (gray short-tailed opossum). RNAcentral's name for it is "lncRNA (ENSMODG00000030303.2)". The record is from RNAcentral. Lineage: Eukaryota; Metazoa; Chordata; Mammalia; Didelphimorphia; Didelphidae.